CUCCGACCUCAGAUCGGACGAGAUUACCCGCUGAAUUUAAGCAUAUAACUAAGCGGAGGAAAAGAAACUAACAAGGAUUU
RNAcentral lists this ribosomal RNA (80 nucleotides) under Sericata torifera. RNAcentral's name for it is "partial 28S ribosomal RNA". It matches the Rfam family "Eukaryotic large subunit ribosomal RNA", at positions 1 to 77 of the family's 3401-position model. Lineage: Eukaryota; Metazoa; Mollusca; Gastropoda; Stylommatophora; Clausiliidae. The record is from RNAcentral.